GAUGAACGCUGACAGCGUGCUUAACACAUCAGCAAUGGAUUGGUGGCGGACGAGUGAGUAACGAGUCACGAACUUGCCUCCGAGGUAUGGACAACAUUUGGAAACGAAUGCUAAUACCUAAUACUGUGAGAGAGCUGUGGGUCCCAUUAGCUAGUUGGACAGGUAACGGCUUACCAAGGCGAUGAUGGGUAGCCGCCCGGAGAGCGUGAUCGGCCACAAGGGGCAUGAGACACGGCACGUAGUCCUACGGGGGGCAGCAGUGGGGAAUUGUCGACAAUGGACCAAAGUCUGAUCCAGCAAUUCGGUGUUCAAGAUGUAGUUUUCGGAAUGUAAAAGGCUGUCAGUUAGGAAGCGGUACCAACAGAAGAAGUUACGGCUAAAUACGUGCCAGCAGCCGCGGUAAUUC
This 406-nucleotide ribosomal RNA is filed under the name uncultured bacterium. RNAcentral describes it as "partial 16S ribosomal RNA". It matches the Rfam family "Bacterial small subunit ribosomal RNA", at positions 28 to 526 of the family's 1533-position model. The record is from RNAcentral.